RNAcentral lists this ribosomal RNA (707 nucleotides) under uncultured bacterium. RNAcentral's name for it is "bacterial SSU rRNA". It matches the Rfam family "Bacterial small subunit ribosomal RNA", at positions 134 to 852 of the family's 1533-position model. The record is from RNAcentral.
UACAACGGGAUACCCGAGGGAAACUUCGGUUAAUACGGUAUAAGACCACACUACCGCAUGGUAGAGGGGUAAAAGGGGCAACCUGGUAUGAGAUGGACUCGCGUCGCAUUAGCUAGUUGGUGAGGUAACGGCCCACCAAGGCGACGAUGCGUAGCCGACCUGAGAGGGUGAUCGGCCACAUUGGGACUGAGAUACGGCCCAGACUCCUACGGGAGGCAGCAGUGGGGAAUAUUGGGCAAUGGAGGAAACUCUGACCCAGCAAUGCCGCGUGAAUGAGGAAGGUCUUCGGAUUGUAAAGUUCUUUAGUCAGGGAAGAAGUCAAUGACGGUACCUGAAGAAUAAGCUCCGGCUAACUACGUGCCAGCAGCCGCGGUAAUACGUAGGGAGCAAGCGUUGUUCGGAAUGACUGGGCGUAAAGGGUGCGUAGGCGGUUGUACAAGUUAGAAGUGAAAUACCCAGGGCUUAACUCGGGUGCUGCUUCUAAAACUGUAUGACUUGAGUGCAGUAGAGGUUAGUGGAAUUCCUAGUGUAGCGGUGGAAUGCGUAGAUAUUAGGAGGAACACCAGAGGCGAAGGCGGCUAACUGGACUGCAACUGACGCUGAGGCACGAAAGUGUGGGGAGCAAACAGGAUUAGAUACCCUGGUAGUCCACACUGUAAACGAUGGAUACUAGAUGUAGGAGGUAUCGACUCCUUCUGCGUCGCAGU